UCUAUGACACCGGGUGUGGUCGCGGCCCCCGGGGGCGUGGGUGCCUUUUGGUGCCCUCUCUCCUGGGUGGUAGAGGUAAAACUCUCACGCGCCACAUGUCUGAAUCCUUUAUUUACGAGCACCUUUCGUUCUCCUUCGGUGGGGCAACCUGCCGUUGGAACUAUCAAAACUCUUUUUUGCAUCUAGCAUUACCUGUUCUGAUACAAACAAUCGUUA
This 216-nucleotide unclassified non-coding RNA is filed under the name uncultured fungus. Its description in RNAcentral is "sequence contains ITS1". The record is from RNAcentral. Lineage: Eukaryota; Fungi.